This 460-nucleotide ribosomal RNA is filed under the name uncultured bacterium. Its description in RNAcentral is "partial 16S ribosomal RNA". It matches the Rfam family "Bacterial small subunit ribosomal RNA", at positions 338 to 795 of the family's 1533-position model. The record is from RNAcentral.
CCUACGGGAGGCAGCAGUGAGGAAUAUUGGUCAAUGGACGCAAGUCUGAACCAUCCAUGCCGCGUGCAGGAAGACUGCUCUAUGAGUUGUAAACUUCUUUUGUACGAGGGUAAACGCAGAUACGCGUAUCUUUCUGAAAGUAUCGUACGAAUAAGGAUCGGCUAACUCCGUGCCAGCAGCCGCGGUAAUACGGAGGAUUCAAGCGUUAUCCGGAUUUAUUGGGUUUAAAGGGUGCGUAGGGGGUCGGAUAAGUUAGAGGUGAAAUCCCGAGGCUCAACUUCGGAAUUGCCUUUGAUACUGUUCGGCUAGAGAGUAGUUGCGGUAGGCGGAAUGUAUGGUGUAGCGGUGAAAUGCUUAGAGAGCAUACAGAACACCGAUUGCGAAGGCAGCUUACCAAGCUACUUCUGACGUUGAGGCACGAAAGCGUGGGGAGCAAACAGGAUUAGAUACCCUAGUAGUC